Molecule: ribosomal RNA, 242 nt
Filed under: uncultured bacterium
Lineage: Bacteria
Description: partial 16S ribosomal RNA
Rfam family: Bacterial small subunit ribosomal RNA
Source: RNAcentral
CGAGUGGCAGACGGGUGAGUAACGCGUGGGAACAUACCCUUUGGUUCGGAACAACGUUUGGAAACGGACGCUAAUACCGGAUACGGCCUGAUCUCGGGAGAGGUUUGGUGAAAGGCUUUUGCUGCCCGAAGGAUUGGCCCGCGUUCGAUUAGCUAGUUGGCGGGGUAACGGCCCACCAAGGCUGCGAUCGAUAGCUGGUCUGAGAGGAUGGCCAGCCACAUUGGGACUGAGACACGGCCCAA